UGAAGAAGAGGGAAUAUCUACAAACUGAUUUUUAAGGUCAAUGUUACCCUCAUAUCAAAGCGAGACAAGAACACCACAAAACAAACAAACAAACAAAAAAACUAUAGGCCAAUAUUCCUGAUGAACAUAGAGGCAAAAAUUCUUAGCAAAAUACUAGCAAACCAAAUUCAACAGCACAAUAAAAAGAUAAUUCACCACAAUCAAGGGGAAUUUAUCCCAGAGUUACAAGAAUGGUUUAACAUACAUAAAUCAACGAAGGACAAAACCAAUAUAAUUAUGUCAAUAGGUGCAGAAAAAGCUUUUGACAAAAUUCAGCAUUCUUUCAUGAUAAAAAACUCUUAAGUUAGGUAUAGAAGGAAAUGUACCUGAACACAGUAAAGGCCAUAUAUGAUAAAACCACAGCUAACAUCAUACUCUGUGGGGAAAAGUUGAAAGCUUUUCUUGUAAGAUAAGGAACAAGACAAGAUUGAAUUUACCGUAGUACUAGAAAUCCUAGAAAAGUUGUUAGGCAAGAAGAAUAAAAAAAAGGCAUCCAAAUUGGAAAGAAAGAAGUUAAAUUGUCUCUGUUGGAAGACAAUAUGAC
This 583-nucleotide long non-coding RNA is filed under the name Marmota monax (woodchuck). Lineage: Eukaryota; Metazoa; Chordata; Mammalia; Rodentia; Sciuridae. The record is from RNAcentral.